GGUCUUGGUCUCNAACCUCACAUUACC
RNAcentral lists this ribosomal RNA (27 nucleotides) under Crotalus helleri (southern Pacific rattlesnake). RNAcentral describes it as "Crotalus oreganus helleri (southern Pacific rattlesnake) partial 12S ribosomal RNA". Lineage: Eukaryota; Metazoa; Chordata; Lepidosauria; Squamata; Viperidae. The record is from RNAcentral.